UCYGGUUGAUCCUGCCRGACCCGACUGCUAUCAGAGUGAGACUAAGCCAUGCGAGUUAACGUAUGAAUAAUACGUGGCACACGGCUCAGUAACACGUAGUCAACAUGCCCAGAGGACGUGGAUAACCUCGGGAAACUGAGGAUAAACCGCGAUAGGCCAUAAUUACUGGAAUGGGUUAUGGCUUAAACCUAUAUGGCCUCUGGAUUGGACUGCGGCCGAUCAGGCUGUUGGUGAGGUAAUGGCCCACCAAACCUGUUACCGGUACGGGCUCUGAGAGGAGGAGCCCGGAGAUGGGCACUGAGACAAGGGCCCAGGCCCUAUGGGGCGCAACAGGCGCGAAACCUCUGCAAUAGGCGAAAGCCUGACAGGGUUACUCUGAGUGAUUCCCGCUAAGGGGAUCUUUUGGCACCUCUAAAAAUGGUGCAGAAUAAGGGGUGGGCAAGUCUGGUGUCAGCCGCCGCGGUAAUACCAGCACCCCGAGUGGUCGGGACGAUUAUUGGGCCUAAAGCAUCCGUAGCCGGUCAUGCAAGUCCUCCGUUAAAUCCACCUGCUCAACAGAUGGGCUGCGGAGGAUACUACAAGGCUAGGAGGCGGAAGAGGCAAGCGGUACUCAGUGGGUAGGGGUAAAAUCCUCCGAUCCAUUGAAGACCACCAGUGGCGAAGGCGGCUUGCCAAUACGCGCUCGACGGUGAGGGAUGAAAGCUGGGGGAGCAAACCGGAUUAGAUACCCGGGUAGUCCCAGCUGUAAACGAUGCAGACUCGGUGAUGGGCCGGCUUUAUGCCGGCUCAGUGCCGCAGGGAAGCCGUUAAGUCUGCCGCCUGGGGAGUACGGUCGCAAGACUGAAACUUAAAGGAAUUGGCGGGGGAGCACCACAAGGGGUGAAGCCUGCGGUUCAAUUGGABUCAACGCCGGR
This 914-nucleotide ribosomal RNA is filed under the name uncultured archaeon. RNAcentral describes it as "bacterial SSU rRNA". It matches the Rfam family "Archaeal small subunit ribosomal RNA", at positions 1 to 922 of the family's 1478-position model. The record is from RNAcentral.